This 383-nucleotide ribosomal RNA is filed under the name uncultured bacterium. RNAcentral describes it as "bacterial SSU rRNA". It matches the Rfam family "Bacterial small subunit ribosomal RNA", at positions 30 to 414 of the family's 1533-position model. The record is from RNAcentral.
AUUGAACGCUGGCGGCAUGCCUUACACAUGCAAGUCGAACGGUAACGGGCCUUCGGGUGCCGACGAGUGGCGAACGGGUGAGUAAUGCAUCGGAACGUACCUUUCAGUGGGGGAUAACGUAGCGAAAGUUACGCUAAUACCGCAUAUUCUGUGAGCAGGAAAGCAGGGGAUCGCAAGACCUUGCGCUGAUUGAGCGGCCGAUGUCAGAUUAGCUAGUUGGUGAGGUAAAGGCUCACCAAGGCGACGAUCUGUAGCGGGUCUGGGAGGAUGAUCCGCCACACUGGAACUGAGACACGGUCCAGACUCCUACGGGAGGCAGCAGUGGGGAAUUUUGGACAAUGGGGGGCAACCCUGAUCCAGCCAUGCCGCGUGAGUGAAGAAGG